RNAcentral lists this ribosomal RNA (468 nucleotides) under uncultured bacterium. RNAcentral's name for it is "partial 16S ribosomal RNA". It matches the Rfam family "Bacterial small subunit ribosomal RNA", at positions 28 to 507 of the family's 1533-position model. The record is from RNAcentral.
GACGAACGCUGGCGGCGUGCUUAACACAUGCAAGUCGAACGGACAGGCCCUGCUUUUGUUGGGUGCUCGAGUGGCGAACGGGUGAGUAACACGCGAGUAACCUGUCCUUGUCUUACGGAUAACUUCAGGGAACUGGGGCUCUUACCGGAUAGAAGCUCCUGCUGCAUGGGGGUGGUUGGAAAGUGUCGGCGGUUGGGGAUGGACUCGAGGCUUAUCAGCUUGUUGGUGGGGUAGUGGCUUACCAAGGCUUUGACGGGUAGCCGGCAUGAGAGGGUGACCGGCCACAAUGGGACUGAGAUACGGCCCAGAAUGCUACGGGAGGCAGCAGUGGGGAAUAUUGCACAAUGGGCGGAAGCCUGAUGCAGCAGCGCCGCGUGCGGGAUAACGGCCUUCGGGUUGUAAACCGCUUUCGCCUGUGACGAAGCGUGAGUGACGGUAAUUGGUCAAGAAGCACCGGCUAACUACGUG